This 529-nucleotide ribosomal RNA is filed under the name Alteromonas sp. Its description in RNAcentral is "bacterial SSU rRNA". It matches the Rfam family "Bacterial small subunit ribosomal RNA", at positions 383 to 904 of the family's 1533-position model. Lineage: Bacteria; Pseudomonadati; Pseudomonadota; Gammaproteobacteria; Alteromonadales; Alteromonadaceae. The record is from RNAcentral.
CUGAUGCAGCCAUGCCGCGUGUGUGAAGAAGGCCUUCGGGUUGUAAAGCACUUUCAGUUGUGAGGAAAAGUUAGUAGUUAAUACCUGCUAGCCGUGACGUUAACAACAGAAGAAGCACCGGCUAACUCCGUGCCAGCAGCCGCGGUAAUACGGAGGGUGCGAGCGUUAAUCGGAAUUACUGGGCGUAAAGCGCACGCAGGCGGUUUGUUAAGCUAGAUGUGAAAGCCCCGGGCUCAACCUGGGAUGGUCAUUUAGAACUGGCAGACUAGAGUCUUGGAGAGGGGAGUGGAAUUCCAGGUGUAGCGGUGAAAUGCGUAGAUAUCUGGAGGAACAUCAGUGGCGAAGGCGACUCCCUGGCCAAAGACUGACGCUCAUGUGCGAAAGUGUGGGUAGCGAACAGGAUUAGAUACCCUGGUAGUCCACACCGUAAACGCUGUCUACUAGCUGUGUGUGCCUUUAAGGCGUGCGUAGCGAAGCUAACGCGCUAAGUAGACCGCCUGGGGAGUACGGCCGCAAGGUUAAAACUCAA